RNAcentral lists this long non-coding RNA (445 nucleotides) under Anas platyrhynchos platyrhynchos (common mallard). Its description in RNAcentral is "lncRNA (ENSAPLG00000026627.1)". Lineage: Eukaryota; Metazoa; Chordata; Aves; Anseriformes; Anatidae. The record is from RNAcentral.
AAUAGGUGAAUUUUAGCACCAUGGUGUGAGGAGUCCCAGCAGUGUGGGGAUGAGCACAGUUUUGGUAGAAGGGUUGUGUGCUUUCUGGGGUCUGAAGAAAAGGAUGCUGCUUCUGGACCUUGGAAAGAUGUUUCCUGAGGAGGCAGCCGACGUGCCUGAGGGGAGGCUGAAUGCAGGAGGACUGGAAAAAAAAGGCACUCAGACUGUGACUGCACCUGGAAAAAACAACUUUAAGGAGGUGGGAAAGACUGCAGACAGUUUCCUGAAGGAGUGUGAAAAUGGCAUUUGCUGCAGAAAGUUGGAAUUGUGGAUACCCUGCAUCCUGAACCUGCUGCAGAAGAUCUGGAGUACCUGCAGGAGAGCGAAGACAGUAAAACUGCAUUCGUACUUCGUGGGAGUGAAUUACAGCAAGGACUUCUACCUGCAGCAACAACACCCAGGUUAA